Molecule: long non-coding RNA, 797 nt
Filed under: Sorghum bicolor (sorghum)
Lineage: Eukaryota; Viridiplantae; Streptophyta; Magnoliopsida; Poales; Poaceae
Description: long non-coding RNA (SBIC_LNC013882)
Source: RNAcentral
GUAAAUUAUUCACUAACUAUGUUUUUAGCUUUGUAAAUAGUUUAUAUUUAAUAUUUUAUGUAUAUGUCCAAACAUUCGAUGUGAUAGAAGUUAAAGUUAACCGCUUGAAACCAAAUAAGGCCUUAAAAAUCUCAUCAAAGUUCCUGAAUCCAAUCUCAUGAGCCAGAUACGUAUUAUUGCACCAAAGGAUGACAUCGAUCAGAUGCAUGCUCGUCGUUGCUCACGUCUCGCUUUCACAUGACACUAUAACAAAUAUAAGCUCCCAGGAUCUUUGGACAGGUUGGGAAUAUGCAGUCCAGCCAAGAGCAGAAAAUGUUCAGGACAAACCAAUUCUUGGAUCAGUACAGAGACUAAUGCCUCUUUAGUUGGGCCUCCCAAGUCCAAACCUGUUUUGGCUUUUGAAAAGCCAAAAGUCAAUAAUCAAAGGGGAAAAUUCCACUAUUGUUUUUAGAAGAGAGCUGUUUUUGUAGUAUACAAUUUUCACAGCAGGUGGAGAGGGUUUUGUUGCUGGUCUGCUGUUGGCUGAUUUAUUGUGAGAGAAAAACACUACAUUCUGGCAGAAAAGGUACGGCUGAAAAGAAAAAAAAAACAAGCUAGUAUAGAACAUUAAAUAUAGAUAAAAAUAAUAAUUAAUUGCACGGUUUGUCUGUACUUUAUGUAACACCCUAAAAUUUGCUCUUUUCAAAAUAGAUGAAAAUUUAUUCAGUUUUGUAUUUUGUGCUCAUGAAAAUAUAAGGAAAAUAAUAUUUUUCAUUAAAUUAAAAUUUAUCAUAAGCCUUAGCAAUAUUGUUGUGCAU